Molecule: transfer RNA, 74 nt
Filed under: Polulichloris maxima
Lineage: Eukaryota; Viridiplantae; Chlorophyta; Trebouxiophyceae; Watanabeales; Watanabeaceae
Description: tRNA-Arg
Rfam family: tRNA
About the family: Transfer RNA (tRNA) molecules are approximately 80 nucleotides in length. Their secondary structure includes four short double-helical elements and three loops (D, anti-codon, and T loops).
Source: RNAcentral
GGGCUUGUAACUCAGAGGAUAAGAGUACGCGUUUCCGAAGCGUGAAGGCGAGGGUUCAAUUCCCUCCUAGCUCA